RNAcentral lists this ribosomal RNA (538 nucleotides) under uncultured bacterium. RNAcentral's name for it is "bacterial SSU rRNA". It matches the Rfam family "Bacterial small subunit ribosomal RNA", at positions 777 to 1315 of the family's 1533-position model. The record is from RNAcentral.
AAUAGAUACCCAGGUAGUCCACGCCGUAAACGUUGGAUACUAGGUGUGGCGGUUAUACCAAUGACUGCCGUGCCGAAGCUAACGCAUUAAGUAUCCCGCCUGGGGAGUACGGCCGCAAGGCUAAAACUCAAAGGAAUUGACGGGUCCCCGCACAAGCGGCGGAGCAUGCGGCUUAAUUCGAUGCAACCCGAAGAACCUUACCUGGGUUUGACAUCACGGGAAAAGCUGUAGAAAUACAGUGUCCAUUAGGGCCCGUGACAGGUGGUGCAUGGCUGUCGUCAGCUCGUGUCGUGAGAUGUUGGGUUAAGUCCCGCAACGAGCGCAACCCUUGUCCUAUGUUGCCAGCGGUUCGGCCGGGGACUCAUAGGAGACUGCCGGGGAUAACUCGGAGGAAGGUGAGGACGACGUCAAGUCAUCAUGCCCCUUAUAUCCAGGGCUGCACGCAUGCUACAAUGGCCGGUACAACGGGCAGCGACCCCGCGAGGGUGAGCGAAUCCUAAAAAGCCGGUCCUAGUUCGGAUUGAAGUCUGCAACUCGA